This 399-nucleotide unclassified non-coding RNA is filed under the name Zea mays. RNAcentral's name for it is "misc RNA Zm00001eb366980". Lineage: Eukaryota; Viridiplantae; Streptophyta; Magnoliopsida; Poales; Poaceae. The record is from RNAcentral.
UUGGUGAAAUGCGGCAGAGGAGAGAUCAGGACACCGGGCGUGCAACCAUGCAGGGAGCAAAGACGGAAGGCAGGGCGGGGCGCUGUAGCUGAAGGCGACGACGACGACGAUGAAGGUUUUGCUGCUCCGCACACCGCGCGCAGUGGCGACGCGACCACAGCCGGUCGCCGCCUCGGAUCGAGGAGGAGGAGCCGAUGGAGGUGCUUGUGGUGGCUACGGUGGCGAGGUGAGGAAGUGGAUGCAGUUGGUGCUGCGCCGGAGAGCCCCAUUCUCCGACGUCGACUGCGUAGCUUCGCCGUCUACAGCCGCAGGAUUUUCGGCUUCGACCCCGGUCGGGCCCGCACGGCGACCACAGUGCGGUACCGGAAUAGGGUUCUCGGCGGCGGGGACGGGUGGUGA